UACGUAGGGUGCGAGCGUUGUCCGGAAUUAUUGGGCGUAAAGAGCUUGUAGGCGGUUUGUCGCGUCUGCUGUGAAAAUCCGGGGCUCAACCCCGGACUUGCAGUGGGUACGGGCAGACUAGAGUGUGGUAGGGGAGACUGGAAUUCCUGGUGUAGCGGUGAAAUGCGCAGAUAUCAGGAGGAACACCGAUGGCGAAGGCAGGUCUCUGGGCCACUACUGACGCUGAGAAGCGAAAGCGUGGGGAGCAAACGGG
This 253-nucleotide ribosomal RNA is filed under the name uncultured bacterium. RNAcentral describes it as "partial 16S ribosomal RNA". It matches the Rfam family "Bacterial small subunit ribosomal RNA", at positions 524 to 776 of the family's 1533-position model. The record is from RNAcentral.